CCCCCACCGGGUGACGCUGGAGCUGGGACCCCCCCACGGGGGCGGGGCGCUGCUGCUGGAGCUGGAACAAGCCUUUGCCCAGCCGCUCCUGGACACCCUGGAGAUGCCCCCGGGGACCCCCCCCGGGCAAUAAAAUCCGGAUUUGGGGUCAGGAGAGGUCACGGUGUC
Long non-coding RNA from Catharus ustulatus (Swainson's thrush), 168 nucleotides. RefSeq lists it as uncharacterized. NCBI's taxonomy places the organism in Eukaryota, Metazoa, Chordata, Aves, Passeriformes, Turdidae. The record is from RefSeq and is a predicted model, not a curated record. The transcript is spliced from 2 exons.